RNAcentral lists this ribosomal RNA (450 nucleotides) under uncultured bacterium. Its description in RNAcentral is "partial 16S ribosomal RNA". It matches the Rfam family "Bacterial small subunit ribosomal RNA", at positions 354 to 796 of the family's 1533-position model. The record is from RNAcentral.
GUGGGGAAUAUUGGACAAUGGGCGAAAGCCUGAUCCAGCCAUGCCGCGUGUGUGAAGAAGGUCUUCGGAUUGUAAAGCACUUUAAGUUGGGAGGAAGGGCAGUAAGUUAAUACCUUGCUGUUUUGACGUUACCGACAGAAUAAGCACCGGCUAACUUCGUGCCAGCAGCCGCGGUAAUACGAAGGGUGCAAGCGUUAAUCGGAAUUACUGGGCGUAAAGCGCGCGUAGGUGGUUCAGUAAGUUGGAAGUGAAAUCCCCGGGCUCAAACUGGGAACUGCCUCCAAAACUGCAUAACUAGAGUACGGUAGAGGGUAGUGGAAUUUCCUGUGUAGCGGUGAAAUGCGUAGAUAUAGGAAGGAACACCCGUGGCGAAGGCGACUACCUGGACUGAUACUGACACUGAGGUGCGAAAGCGUGGGGAGCAAACAGGAUUAGAUACCCGUGUAGUCC